RNAcentral lists this ribosomal RNA (480 nucleotides) under uncultured bacterium. RNAcentral's name for it is "partial 16S ribosomal RNA". It matches the Rfam family "Bacterial small subunit ribosomal RNA", at positions 28 to 523 of the family's 1533-position model. The record is from RNAcentral.
GACGAACGCUGGCGGCGUGCCUAACACAUGCAAGUCGAACGGAGAUACGAUUUCGGUUGUAUCUUAGUGGCGAACGGGUGAGUAACGCGUGAGCAACCUGACCUUCAGAGGGGGAUAACAUUUGGAAACAGAUGCUAAUACCGCAUAAGACCACGACCCGGCAUCGGGAUGAGGUCAAAGGAGUAAUCCGCUGAAGGAGGGGCUCGCGUCCCAUUAGAUAGAUGGCGGGGUAACGGCCCACCAUGUCGACGAUGGGUAGCCGAGCUGAGAGGCUGAUCGGCCACACUGGAACUGAGACACGGUCCAGACUCCUACGGGAGGCAGCAGUGGGGAAUAUUGGCAAUGGGCGCAAGCCUGACCCAGCAACGCCGCGUGAGGGAAGAGGGCUUUCGGGUUGUAAACCUCUGUCCUUGGUGACGAAACAAAUGACGGUAGCCAAGGAGGAAGCCCCGGCUAACUACGUGCCAGCAGCCGCCGUAA